Molecule: long non-coding RNA, 519 nt
Organism: Amphiprion ocellaris (clown anemonefish)
Lineage: Eukaryota; Metazoa; Chordata; Actinopteri; Pomacentridae
Source: Ensembl
AAGAGAAUGUCUGUCAAUGCUUUCAGCAGAAUUUAGAAACACAACACUUCCUAAACAGAUAUUUUGAGGCUGAGGUUGAACGUUUGAGAGUAUAUCAGUGUGUUUGUUUGUGGUCUUUCUGUUUCUAGGUGGAAGCUGAAUUAGUGAGGAUGACUCCUGCUCCUGUCAUCUCUAAGCUCCUCACACAUCUUUACCUGCACAUGAGGAAAAUCACUCCUGUAGAAUGCAGAUGCACAAUGAGGGACGUCUGCAGAGACUGAGAAAGAGUCUCACCACAUCCUGACAUGAGGAAAAAGACUUUAUUGAAGACUACAAUGAGAAAAACUAUCAGACAGCAGACGGCUGCAUUCAAGUCUGUAGCUGCUGAAUUCAUGGAUGAAUCAUCUGGCACUAGAGAAGAAGACCAUCAAACAUCCACGUCAGCUGAUGGAGGUCCAAGAGUCUCACCCAACAAACAACCUACAGAGUGAAGACCUCGAACCUGAUUGGACGGCCUCCUAUUCAGCCACAUGUGUGAAC